RNAcentral lists this ribosomal RNA (550 nucleotides) under uncultured bacterium. Its description in RNAcentral is "partial 16S ribosomal RNA". It matches the Rfam family "Bacterial small subunit ribosomal RNA", at positions 355 to 889 of the family's 1533-position model. The record is from RNAcentral.
UGGGGAAUUUUGGACAAUGGGGGAAACCCUGAUCCAGCCAUCCCGCGUGUGCGAUGAAGGCCUUCGGGUUGUAAAGCACUUUUGGCAGGAAAGAAACGUCGCGGGUUAAUACCCCGCGAAACUGACGNGCUACCUAGCAGAAUAAGCCAGCCGGCUAACUACGUGCCAGCAGCCGCGGUAAUACGUAGGGUGCAAGCGUUAAUCGGAAUUACUGGGCGUAAAGCGUGCGCAGGCGGUUCGGAAAGAGAGAUGUGAAAUCCCAGAGCUUAACUUUGGGAACUGCAUUUUUUCAACUACCGGGCUAGAGUGUGUCAGAGGGAGGUGGAAUUCCGCGUGUAGCAGUGAAAUGCGUAGAUAUGCGGAGGAACACCGAUGGCGAAGGCAGCCUCCUGGGAUAACACUGACGCUCAUGCACGAAAGCGUGGGGAGCAAACAGGAUUAGAUACCCUGGUAGUCCACGCCCUAAACGAUGUCAACUAGCUGUUGGGGCCCUUCGGGCCUUGGUAGCGCAGCUAACGCGUGAAGUUGACCGCCUGGGGAGUACGGUCGC